UACGUAGGGUGCGAGCGUUAAUCGGAAUUACUGGGCGUAAAGCGUGCGCAGGCGGUUGUGCAAGACAGAUGUGAAAUCCCCGGGCUUAACCUGGGAAUUGCAUUUGUGACUGCACAGCUAGAGUGUGUCAGAGGGGGGUAGAAUUCCACGUGUAGCAGUGAAAUGCGUAGAUGUGUGGAGGAAUACCGAUGGCGAAGGCAGCCCCCCUGGGAUAACACUGACGCUCAUGCACGAAAGCGUGGGGAGCAAACAGG
RNAcentral lists this ribosomal RNA (254 nucleotides) under uncultured bacterium. Its description in RNAcentral is "partial 16S ribosomal RNA". It matches the Rfam family "Bacterial small subunit ribosomal RNA", at positions 524 to 776 of the family's 1533-position model. The record is from RNAcentral.